Molecule: ribosomal RNA, 427 nt
Filed under: uncultured Aeromonas sp.
Lineage: Bacteria; Pseudomonadati; Pseudomonadota; Gammaproteobacteria; Aeromonadales; Aeromonadaceae
Description: bacterial SSU rRNA
Rfam family: Bacterial small subunit ribosomal RNA
Source: RNAcentral
AGUGGGGAAUAUUGCACAAUGGGGGAAACCCUGAUGCAGCCAUGCCGCGUGUGUGAAGAAGGCCUUCGGGUUGUAAAGCACUUUCAGCGAGGAGGAAAGGGUAGCGGCUAAUAUCCGUUACCUGUGACGUUACUCGCAGAAGAAGCACCGGCUAACUCCGUGCCAGCAGCCGCGGUAAUACGGAGGGUGCAAGCGUUAAUCGGAAUUACUGGGCGUAAAGCGCACGCAGGCGGUUGGAUAAGUUAGAUGUGAAAGCCCCGGGCUCAACCUGGGAAUUGCAUUUAAAACUGUCCAGCUAGAGUCUUGUAGAGGGGGGUAGAAUUCCAGGUGUAGCGGUGAAAUGCGUAGAGAUCUGGAGGAAUACCGGUGGCGAAGGCGGCCCCCUGGACAAAGACUGACGCUCAGGUGCGAAAGCGUGGGGAGCAAA